This 255-nucleotide ribosomal RNA is filed under the name uncultured bacterium. RNAcentral describes it as "partial 16S ribosomal RNA". It matches the Rfam family "Bacterial small subunit ribosomal RNA", at positions 57 to 305 of the family's 1533-position model. The record is from RNAcentral.
GCAAGUCGAGCGCGAAAGUUCCUUCGGGGACGAGUAGAGCGGCGAAAGGGUGAGUAAUGCUUGGGUAAUUUACCCCUUGGACUGGGAUAGCCACUGGAAACGUGGGUACUACCGGAUGGUCUCGAUGAUGUUGCGACAUUCACGAGUAAAGCGGGCUUCGGCUCGCACCAGGGGAGAGGCCCGAGUCCUACCAGCUUGUUGGUGAGGUAAUGGCUCACCAAGGCGAAGACGGGUAGCCGGACUGAGAGGUUGGUC